CAUAGCCCUUUAGAUCAACUUCCUUGUCACCAUUAAUUCUUUCGGGUCUCUGGGCCAUGGCAUCGUCUGCCCUUUGGGAAAGCCGGGACAGGGGGGAAAUAAUGAAAGAAAUUAAUUAGGAAGGGAGGGGCUAGGGACCUCACUGGAUGUUGGGGGUGGAAAUCUUAAGAUCGUUUGCAAAACACCAGCCCCAACAUCCCUUGGGAGGCUGAGCUGUGACCUCUUCUCGUGUCCCCGCCCGCUGAAGUUCGCUCCUAGAAAAAUCCGCUCGCGUCGCCAAGAGCGCAGGCGAGGAUCUCAGCGAAGCAGAAGCUCCCGUGCCUGCGGGGACAGUGAGAGCCGAGCUUACACCAGCUCCUUGGCGCGCCUCCUCCGAGCUGGGGGACGCCGAACGCGGACCUCGGAGUAGGCGGCCAAGGCGGGGCACCCUCGCGCCGGCGGGAGGAGCCCCGGAGGUGGGAGCAGCGGCGGCGCGGUAACCCGCACCCGGCGCGCACGGCCACCGGGCGCCGGCGCCUCCAGCAUGGAGUGGGAGCUCAACUUUCUGCUCUACCUGGCGCUUUUCUUCUUCCUGCUCUUCUUACUUUUCCUGCUGCUCUUCGUGGUCAUCAAGCAGCUGAAGAACUCCGUGGCCAGCACGGCCGGGGCCCUCCAGCCCGGUCGCCCCUCGCUGCACCGGGAGCCUUGGGGCUUCUCCCGCGAGCAAGCGGUGUGAGCGACGAGGCGCGGGAACGGGCGGGAGGGCGCGGAGCCGCGCGGGCGCCGGCCUGGGUCUCGGCCUCGACUCUCCGUCCACGCGGCCGCCCUGGUUCCGGUGCCAGGCUCGGCUGCAGCGCCGGCAGACACUUUUUCUACGAGUUCCAUCAUCUCGAGUUCUGGAGCCGAGCCCCGGACUGGCAUGCCGAGGUCCGCAGCUGCGCUUACAGCCCGGUGAUGGGGGACGCUGCCUGGAGAGGACCCUGACAACCCGAGAGGGAAGUUUUCUGCAAAUGGAAGAAGACGAUGGUGGAUCUUGGGUGGACAACCAGCAGUCUGUGCCCUGGCUACAGAAUACAGCUGUAAAGGAGUAUAAGGUCUGAAACAGAUCAAAACUACAGCUCCUUCACACCUGGCAACACUCCAAAGAACAGGGCUCUGCUCUGAGGAAGUGAGCAGAGUGAAGACAUGCUAGGUUUUCUCACCAAACACAUGCCAGGACUGACCUCUCUCAGCCAAUAUAUUUGCCCCACAUCAGGAUUUUCUAGAGGAGGACCUGGGAAACCUGCACACUUUCUUGGUGGACAUAAUCUCUUUAUGGAGGUUUAGAAUGGGAUAAAGAAUGUUUCACCUUGCUACUUCCCCAUCUGCCUUGUUUAUCUCUUCCCUAAUUUUCCUGACAGAUUUUUGGUGGAGCCUGGUUUGUAUAUUUGAUCCCCAUAAAAGGAUGAUCCUUUUCAUGCACAGGGCAGGGUAAUCUAUGAAAAGAAAGGCUACUUGACUCCCUUCUCUGACUCCACCCCACCCUAGGAAUAUCCUGGGAGAAGAAUUGCUUCUCAAAGCUGCUUCCAUAAGCAGCCUACAUCCUGGCUAAGCGAAGGGAGAAGAAACACUUCCCACAUCCAGGGCUGUCCAAAGGAACUUUCUGUGAUGACAGAAAUGUUCUGUAUCUUCACUGUCUCCUACAGUAGCCACUAGCAACAUGCGGCUAGUGAACACUUGAAAUGUGGGUAGUGUGACUGAGGAAGUAAUUUUAAGAAUUUUAGUUAGUUUUAAAGAAUUUAAAUGUAAAUAGCCACUUGCGGCUAGUGGCUAUUGUAUUGUAUAGCACAGUAGACACUUUUCUGUUUCUUGUGCUUAGAACUAGCUGGGAGAGGUUUGAACCAGUCAUGUGCUUGGUGUUCCGUGAUCUUCACUACUCCAUGUUGCCAUUGAACUUGUCUCCCAGAGGAGAAAUGAUAUUUUGGAACUAAAUUCAAGAUAUUAACUUCACAUCUACACAUUGCACAUGUUCCUGUGUAAACACAAUGGUCUCCUGGGAAUAGGGCCUGUGAUUGACUUUAGUGGUGGUUGGUAACGGAAAAAUGGUGGUGUCAAUCCACUUCACGUUCCUAGUGAACAUUUUGUAUUGCUAGUCAGAAUGAGUCACCAGAGAUUAUUUCAUUCUGUUGUGCAAUUCAUUCUGUUAUUUUAUUUUUAUAAUAUUGUGGCUGCUAAAAUGAUUAUGCCGUGUAUGUUUUUCAAAAUACUUAGUGGUUUAUAUUUUUUAAAAGGCUGUGAAAUAAAAAUAUAAUUAUGUGUAA
Non-coding RNA from Equus caballus (horse), 2279 nucleotides. The record is from RefSeq and is a predicted model, not a curated record. Lineage: Eukaryota; Metazoa; Chordata; Mammalia; Perissodactyla; Equidae.